Molecule: ribosomal RNA, 365 nt
Filed under: uncultured eukaryote
Lineage: Eukaryota
Description: partial 18S ribosomal RNA
Rfam family: Eukaryotic small subunit ribosomal RNA
Source: RNAcentral
CAAUAGCGUAUAUUUAAGUUGUUGCAGUUAAAAAGCUCGUAGUCGGAUUUUGGCUGAGAACGAUCGGUCCGCCGUUAGGUGUGCGCUGAUUGGUCUCAGCUUCCUGGUGAGGAGGUGUGCUUCACGGCCACUUAGUCACCGUGGUUACUUUGAAAAAAUUAGAGUGUUCAAAGCGGGCUUACGCUUGAAUAUAUUAGCAUGGAAUAACACCAUAGGACUCCUGUCCUAUUUCGUUGGUCUCGGGACGGGAGUAAUGAUUAAGAGGAACAGUUGGGGGCAUUCGUAUUUCAUUGUCAGAGGUGAAAUUCUUGGAUUUAUGAAAGACGAACUUCUGCGAAAGCAUUUGCCAAGGAUGUUUUCAUUGA